GUGACAGAAAUAUCAAGAAAUGCAUUUUAGCUCUCACUUUGGUAGGAGGUUGUCCAGCAGGACUAUUGCAAUGGACUUUUGACAGGUCUUACCAAAAAAUAAAAACUGUGGAGCAACUGCAGAUUGUUCAGAAUGCUGCUGCUAGAGUCUUAUCAAGAACCAACAGAACCAAACACAUCACUCCUGUUCUUAAAUCUCUGCACUGGUUACCAGUAAACUACAAAAUCAAUGUCAGUGCUUCUACUAGUUUAUAAAUCACUCGGUGGCAUGGGGCCAGAGUACAUGUUGGAUCUUCUUCCUGUACGUAUGCCCAGCAGGGCUCUGAGAUCCUUGGGAAGUAGUCAGCUGGUAGAACCUUGGGUCAGAACCAAUCAGGGUGAAGCUGCGUUUAGCUACUAUGCUGCACACAGAUGGAAUCAGCGUCCUUAUGACCUCAAAUCUGCCCCAACUCAUGUAACUUUUAAAUCAAAAUGUAAAACUUUUGUGCAUUCAUCAGCCUUUGAAUGAUCGUUACUUAUACUGCUCCAUCUGCACCGUAAAUGUUCAUCCUUUCUGUUGUUCAGGCGUUAUGGGCGACGGUGGCACAGGAGUUAAGUGCCCGUUCUGUAAUCGGAAGGUUGCAGGUUCAAGCCCCACUCACUCUGUUGCUGUCAUUGUGUCCUUGGGCAAGACACUUAACCCACCUUGCCUGCUGGUGGUGGUCGGAGGGACCGGUGGUGCCUGUGUACGGCAGCUUCGCCUCUGUCAGUGCGCCCCAGGGCAGCUGUGGCUAAAAAGUAGCUCAUCAGGGUGCGAAUAUGUGAAUGUCGCCUUGCAGGCUUUUACUUUUUUUUAUAUUUUCUGAUAUCUUGUGUUUGUCACACACACACACACACACACACACACACACACACACACACACACGCUUGUGGUGGAACAACUUCUGUAACUUUUCCACAGCAGAACAAAACAUCAUUUUUUAGUAACAAAAAACUUUGUACCCAAAUAAAACUAACAUCCUCAUGUUGUUCUUGUUUAGGUACAAGCAGCUAACACAUGUGCAGCAAAGCUAGAAGCGUUUUAAAACUCCCGUGAGUCACUGCAGAAAGUCAUUCAAGAGUAAAGAAAUGACUCCUGGGAUUGUUUAUGGGUUGGUUAUUGAUUUUUACCAAGAAGCAGCCAAUUACAAAGAGUAUUAAUAAAAGUUUCUCAGGAAAAGAAUAAAAUCCUGCCGCUGAUUGCUGAAAUGAACUAAAACGGGAUAACCUGGUGAAACAACUUCCUGUCACGCUGAGCAGGAGGUUAGGGCCCAAAAACGCAGAACACCAGAUCACUCAAGCCAGGAGCCGAUGUAAAGAAAUAAAUCCUUUAUUUAAAGGAGGAUGCGCCAAAGUCCCAAGGCAAAACAAAAGUCAGGCUUAAUUCCCAAAUGCACUGAGCGGUCAAAAAACAAAAGCAGAAGCUCUCAUAUGAGCACGGACUCGGGCAAAACGCGAGAGAGGACAAGACAGGGUUUUAAACACAAAGGGAAGCAAUCAGGGGAGCAGGUAACCGGUGUGAGGAGUGAGGUCUAGAGGGAAGACAGGUGCCAUAAAUAAACUAAAUGGGGAAGGAACAAGCAGAGGGCAAGAUAAACCAUAACCUAUAAAACACUAAGGCCUAGUCCACACGUAGCCGUUUUUUUUAACGAAUAUCCGCCCCUCCAAAAACUUGCAUCCACACCACCUCAUUUAAAAAAAAAUACUUUGUCCACACGUACCCGGAUAAAUACGUUGUUAAGGACAUGCCAGACCUGUAGGCGGCAGUACUUCCCCCGUUCUUAACCUCGUCCUUCGUCUGUGGUCUUCCGUAAGGAGCAGUAAUUCCGCUUGCAAAAACAAACAAGCAGAAAGCGCUUGGACAAUUGAUAAAGCGAGCGCAGCUCUGAGGGCAUCCAUGCUGUCGGCUAGUGUAAACACAGGUUGCACACGUGAUGUCAGCAUUUUUUUGUCGCGGAAAGUGACGUUGCGGACCUUAAAACUCCGGUUUUGUCUGUCCACACGCAGACACCCAAAACGGAGAAAACGCAGAUCUUCACUUUGGCCGGAGUUUUUAAAAAGAUCUGUUUUCGUUUGGAUGACAGGCCAAAACGUAGAAAAAUAUCUACGUUUUGGCAGAUCCCCGGCUACGUGUGGACAGGGCCUAAAUGUUUAUGUUUAUGUUUAUUCACUUAGCAGACGCUUUUAUCCAAAGCGACUUACAAUUUAUAACCUAUAGGGCAUGUUGUGAACUGUGGCGGAAACCGGAGUACCCGGAGGAAACCCACGCAUGCAUGGGCAGAACACGCAACUCCACGCAGAAAGGCCGCAGCCAAGUUUCGAACCUGCGACCUUCAUGCUGCGAGGCAACAGUGCUAACCACUGCGCCACCAUGCAGUAAAUAAGUAAACCUAGAAACUAAGGGCAAAGAUAAACAACUAAUGACUAGAGGGGUGAGGAGGACUAAUGCAAACAAAUAGGAACUACAACAGAGUGACUAGGAGGAAACAUGAGGAAGCCUAGAGGUUGCUGGGGAACACAAGAAGACACAUGAGGAGAACUUGAGUGGGCUGGGGAAGUAUAAGGACACACAGAGCACAAGGGGACGCAUGAGGAGAACGCAGAGGAAGAACAGGAGGGGGCUGGGGACCAAGGGGACACAGAACAUGACACUUCCAGGUUCGGGAUCUGAUCUAACUUUUCCAUUAAUCGUCUUUUUGGUGUGUUUCUGUCCCCGUUCAGCUGCUACUGGUUCUUCUCUCCUGCUGAUGGGGAGCAAACACGCUGCUGCUGGAUGACACGUGCAGCUGGGAGAAAGCGCUCCUCUGGAACAAUGUCUUCUCUCUGAAUACACUCGCGCUGGCUUGUUACUGUUCAAAUGAGCAUAAAAGCAACAACAGGCAAAGCGGCGUCAGAUCUAUCGAGGCUGUGCCCAGCAAACCAGAUUUCGUGGCUACGCGCUGAGAAGCAAUCAGUGACAUUUUGUCUGAAAAGACAAAUCAACCUGGAUAAUUUGUAACGGCUCUGAACCGUUGUUUACCUCCUGCUGCACGGCCUUUGCCAAGGUAACGUCGGGAUCCGAGCCGUGCUUUUGCACGAGCAGAGACGAGUUUAGUCAAAUUUAUUCGCAGCACAAACACGAGAAAGACAAAGGCUGAGAUGAGGUGGAGGGAAACAGCAGUUUAGAUGAAAGCCGGUGCGAAUUUCAAGAGGCCGUGCAGAUUUUAAGACAAUGGUAUGAAGACGCAGGUGAGCGAUCCCCCAUCUGUGUGUUUGAUGAAGUGGCUCAGUGGCAGCGGCACACCGAAACUGCACACGCCAAAAACUUUCUGGCGGAUGCCGUUCGCUAGCAGCAGUCGAUGUAAUUUGUUGAAGUGCUCUUGCACUUAUGUAUGCUGAUUGCAUGAAAAUACAAAGAAGGGUGCCGAGGGACCGUCUGUCUCUGUAGCUUAAGAUUACAGAGUUUGGUUUAAGGACGCUUCAUUAGAGGUAGCCCCAGUGAAUCCGUUAUUUCUGGUAAUAUUAGCAGAAGUGUUUCCCUCUAGAGGGGGACAAAAAAAACAAUCUUAAGCUCUUUUUCCAGCAAGUAGCAUGAAGUCUGCAGCUCCACAGUGUGUGUUUGGCCAAUGUACCUUCCCCUGCUGCUGCUUGUAGUUUUGGCCACAAUGCUCUUCUCUGUUGUUCAGACAAAAAAGCACUUAUCAGCAAACGGCAUGCCAAUCUUUUUUUGGGUUUGCAGCACUCAAAAGGUGGCCCGAGGAAUUUUGUUUGAGUCUCCAUAAGUCAUCCUCGCAUCUGUUACACCUCCAUCUGCGGCAGCAACGUCCUUAGAGAGAGUUCUCGCUCAAGCUCCAUGCGCCGCCGCUCAUCGAACGUCGUCCAUAUGUUUCCUCCCACAGAGCGCGUGUAGCGUCAAUCAAGACUUCACUUAGUUCUGACACUGUGAUGUAAAGAGGAAAAGGGCAGAUAUUAAAUGGUUGUGUGUGUGUGGAGUUUGGUAACAUGACAAUCACAGAAAAUCCAAAGAGAAUUAAUUUAAUGAAUGCUUUGCUGCCUGCAUGCAGAGCGGUGCUCGUUCAUCCUCACACUGGUAUUUGUGCUGCUACGCUGAAGUCAUUUAGCUCUGUGAGCUGCCCUGCGUCUCAGCGCCAGCUGGCCCGCUGGCUGCAACACCACCACUGAGAUGUUGUGGAGGAAAAUACGAUGUCUGCAGCCAAUUCCUCGCUGCUCGGUUCUUCGUUGUUCGGUCCGGUAAGGACCUAACUCCAGCCCUGGCUGAGUCCAAAAUGGUCUCAUCUGUGUGACUGAGUGGUUAUAUUUUGUCAUGUUGUAGAUAAACAACAACAACAGCAGGUCUGCGCUAUCAUUUCCAACAAAAUAAGUGGAACCACGUCACGUGUGUUUGUUUUGAUUAGAAUGCACAAUUUUGCACAAUCUUUUUAAAAUUCUGCUCAUCUCUACUUCUGCCCCCACGUUUUACACAGUUGAUGUGUUCCAGUGUGGGUUUAGGCCACUUCACAGUACCGAAUCAGCCCUUCUUCGCGUGACCAAUGACAUCCUGGUGGCUUCUGACUCUGAGUUGCCUGUUUUGCUCUUACUAUUAGAUCUUUCUGCAGCAUUCGAUUCCGUUGACCACAAUAUUUUGCUGGAUAGACUUGAGUCAUGGGUAGGGCUCAGGGGUACCUCACUUCAGUGGUUCUGCUCAUAUCUGUCAAAAAGAGUUUUCAAGGUUCAGUUGGGUAAUUGUUCCUCUACAUUCCUUCCACUUCCAUGGGGAGUCCCGCAGGGAUCUGUGCUUGGACCUCUCCUGUUUUCAAUUUACAUCCUCCGCCUGGGUUUCAUCCUGAGGAAAUAUGGCCUGGGCUAUCAUAUUUAUGCAGAUGAUUGCCAGAUCUACCUGGCUUUGAACAAACCAGGCUCCCUCUCUCUUCUGGACCAAUGUUUGGCUGAAGUGAGGGUUUGGCUUGCCAACAAUUUCCUUAAGCUAAAUGAUUCUAAGUCUGAGGCACUCCUGAUGACCCCUAACAAAACCACACACAUAUCUUCUGAUUUGGCCACUCUACCUUAUGACCUCAAGCAGUGUGUUACCAACCUGGGGGUGAAACUGGAUACACACUUUUCCAUGGGCCCUCAGAUUAACGCAGUGGUCAGAUCGUGUUUUUAUCAGCUGCGCAGACUAGUCCGCUUAAAACCAAUCCUGAAAUGAGCACACCUGGAAUCUGUAAUUCAUGCUUUUAUCACCUCCCGACUGGAUUAUGCAAAUUCCAUUUUAAUUGGCUUACCUGCCUCUGCUCUUAACAGGCUUCAGGUCGUACAGAACGCAGCAGCCAGGUUUUUAACAAACACCCCUAGAAGAGACCAUAUCACACCUGUACUGGCGCGGCUUCACUGGCUACCCGUAAACUUCAGAGUCAAGUUUAAAAUCCUGAUUUUUGUUUUUAAGGCCCUGAACGGUCUGUCUCCGGAUUACCUGUUGGAUCUUGUCACUCGUUACGUGCCGAACCGGGCGUUGAGUUCUGCUGAUUGCCUGCUGCUUCGGGUUCCAUCAAUGAAAUACAAAACGCGGGGGCAGCGUGCUUUUGUCUAUGCUGCUCCAACACUCUGGAAUGCUCCUCCUCUUUCAGUGAGGCUGGCACCAUCCCUCCUCCGGUUCAAGUCGCUGCUUAAGGCUCAUUUUUACGACCAGGCAUUUUUAAAUCCCUGACUUUUAUUAUUUUAUUAUGUGUCUUUUUAUUGACUGUGAUUAUCUGCCUUGUUGUGCAUUUUAUUGUUGACUGUGUAUUGUUUUAUAUUGUGUUUUUACUUUUUAUUCUGUACAGCACUUUGGUCGGCUGCCAUGCCGUUUUUAAAUGUGCUUUAUAAAUAAAGUUGGUAUGGUAUGGUAUGGUAGAAAUCCUCCCCGUUUUCCAUCUAAUGUUUGAAAAGUGCAGCUUACCAGACUUCACAUUAAUGCAGCCAAGGACGAGUAGUGUGUGACAAAAAUGAAACGAGCAAAAUGUCCUUGUGGAAUAUUGUCAUCUUGUUUUUUCUUCCUGCAUUGUUGAUACAAAUGAUGUUGUUUUCAAUGCAUCAAGCAGCGCUGUCUGCCCUUUUAUAAGGAACAUGAUUUACGGAGCUUAAAUGUUGGACACCAGUCUUCACCUAAAGACAGCUUUUGUGUUAUUUGUGCAUGCAGCAAACCUAACAUUUAAUAUAAAAUUCUUUAUUUUUAUUUUGAUCAUCAGUGACUAUUUGGCCCCCUCCAGAGGCUUUUCCGUACCACCGAAGUGUAACAUCCAGCCGCCCAGAAGCUAUCCAGCCAAUAAAAAAGGGAGCCAGUUAUCCAGCUUGCCUGCCUGCCGGCUCUCUGCUCUCAGACAGACGGUGGGGAACAGUUCCUGCCCUCCUCCCUGGGAUGAGAAUGGAAAGGAAUGUUGUUUACCCCAAACACAGCAGGUCACUACAGAGGAAAACAUAUCAAAACACAGAAUCUGAGGUAUAUCGAGUAAGUAGAAACACUUACCUAGGUCUGCAUCAAUAAUACACUCAUUUAAAAGUAAUUGGGUGACACUUUUUUGUAAAAACUUCACCCAAAACAUGCAAAAGGCCUAUUUUUGCACUCUUUGUCAGGCACUUAACAUCAAUGAGUGGAACAAGUUUUAAAACUCCAGAACUGAUGGACUGAAUAUAGUCGGUACAUAGAUGUGUUUUUUUCUUCAUUAAAGCACAAAAGCAGCAUGUGGUCGGUGCCUCAAUUGCAUAAAAGUAAAAAAUAUUUAUAUAUUAAAAUUUGACAAGAAAUUCUGAAUUUUAGUCCAUUUUAAAAGACGUUGUAUGGUCCCGCAACAUACUCUGGCACUAAAGCCAGAUGGUGAGAGGGCUUAAGCACAAGUAGGUGCCGUUAAAGCGUCAUGAGAGAUCUAAUUUGAGUUUUUUUUUGUACGAAAUAUAAUUGCAGGAACCCUCAAGAGGCAUUACACUCCAGCCGAGGCAUUAUUAGAACGACUUGAUGUCUCUGUUGAUGUAUUUAAUGCCCUUGAGUGUCUGUCAUGCAGUGUGAACUACUGUAUUCACAGAUGGGGCCCGAGGCACCACCAAGAGCACAGGUCAAGCCUGAACACGGUGACAAUAGAGGUGAGGCAGGAGGUCCAUUCACCUCCUUUCAAAGGCCUUUCACAAAGUGCACGAGGGUUUUAGUUUGAUGAUAAAUGAUGUCAAAGAGGGCAGAGGUCACUUAGAAAGCCACAGGGGUCAGAGCUGGGUCACAAUUAAGAUUAGAAGUUCAAGUUCAAAAAAGUUUGUCAGGUUUGGUUUUAAAUGCAUCACUAAUAAGAAAAGUUGUUCAAUUUUAGCAUCAAGAUACGGCUGAAAUUAUACUACGGCUGAUAGUUAUGAUCCAUUCAUUCAAACCAGGUGUUUAGGUGCAGAGGAACAUAGAGAAAAUGCAGGAAGUGGUCCCCGAGAACCAGGACUGAUUCUCCCUGGACUAGAGUAAUAUCCUUUCCAUCGCUCCAUCUCUUACCCAACACAAGGUAGUCCUCUUCAUGAGGCAGAGACUCACUCCCAAUCCAAAUGAUACAUUCCAGCUUUUUACCAGUUGACAGCCGUGGCAUCAAGUUUGGAUGUUUCUCUUCCUGACUUGUUUUCCAGGGGCGGUCUUAGGAGGGGCCCAGGUGGGCCAGUGCCACCCUCACAACAAGCUCGGGCCCCACUAUUUAAUUAAGUCAAGAGUCAAAAAACAGCUGUAAGGCUGACUUUGACUCAGUCUGGCUGAGGAUUCACACGGCUGAAACUUUGGCAUCUCGACCAAAAACAGUGAUGUUAGUGACAUUAGUCAAACAGCAAAACUCAGUCAGCAAAAUAUAUAUUUUUUAUUACUAGAUCUGAGUCCGUUGUGUUGAAGCUUGAUUUCCAUGCAGAUUCACCUGUUUCAACAGAAGAGUCAAAACGUGGAUGAUGGAGAGUGUCCAUGCUGUCUCUGCUUGUCGUCAUCUUUGUCUAGCGUUCAAAAGGGGUGUUUGUAACUCAGUUACAAAUAUUCACACUUGAAUUUGAUUGGCUGCAGAGGCACUACUAGGACCAUCUCAAGUUGGUGUUCAUCACAGUGACAUCACAUUCAAGUCAGUGCAAAAACGGUCAUUUCCUUUGAAAAUAUAAAAAUUGUAUUUGUUUAACUCCUCUGGAUGUGCUGCUUGGGAGUUAUUUAUGUUCUCAUGAAGGCUUUGGUGUGAGCUGAAAAUGAGCUAACAAUGCACUGGUUACCGAAGUGGAAAACCUGCCAGGAUCUUCUGCAGGAGCGGGAAAGGGCAGCGGUCUGAGAACCAGUGGGACUCCAGCUGUCUCAGCCAGCCGUUCCGAGCAUUUUGUUUUGACCUUCAAAACACCUCAGACCUACUUAAGACUACCCAGGUACUGGCGGAGCUGCAGCCCUCCCUUCUGCUGAUCUCUGUGAAUUUAUGACCUUUCUCAGUGCCUUUCCAAUAGGUCUGUAAAGCCCUCGGGUCAUGAAACCUUUUUAGUUUCCAGUGUACAGACAGAGCAUAGCAGGAUCAUUUAUUAGGGGGGCAUUCUCCUUCUGUUUCAGCUCUCCAUCCAGAGGGAGGUCAGACAUGAAGGUCUUCAUCAGGGACUCCAAAGCUUCAUAGCAGAACUUAAUCACAACUCGCCCUGCUUCUCUUUAUUCAGCAUUUUAACAGCAGCACUCUGCAUUCAUCACUUUGUUUGCUGUAAUUAUCCGGUCUCAUAACAUCUGAGUGGCACACUGUUGGUGACAAAUCUCUGUCCCCAUGUAAAGGCUCGGCUCAUUAGUGGAAAGAGAGGUUAAACGUCCAGGUGGAAAGGAGUCUUCACUGGAGGACAUAUUUCUUUAGUAGUUUGCAGAUAUUUCUAGGAAUAAAACCUGCACACGCUGUUUAAGCCUCCAGAGAGGAAAUACGGGAGACACUCGCUUUUAAAAAAAGCACUAAUGAAGGAAAUGCAGAUUGUUUUUAUGAGUUUGUAUUUCAAACAUUUGAUUCAUAUUUGUUUUUCAGUUCAAAAGAAAUUCUAGUUAAGCAAAUAAGUACUUGAACUCACCUGGUUUAAUUGGAUUCAAAUGUAAAAAGGAGCUAUCAACAAGGCUGUGUUCACACUUUAUUUAAAGGUGCAAUAUGUAAGAAUGAAGUAAAAACCAGCAUUGUGGUCAAAAUGGGUACUGCAGCCCAUUUUUCUAAACAAAAAGUUACUUUCUCUCAACUUUUUUGUGAGUUUUAUUGCUGUUGCCAGGUACGGAUCGCUUACUACAUUUAUGUUUAUGUUUAUUUACUUGGCAGACGCUUUUAUCCAAAGCGACUUACAAUUUAUAACCUAUAGGGCAUGUUGUGCUCCGUGGGGGAAACCGGAGUACCCGGAGGAAACCCACGCAUGCAUGGGGAGAACACGCAACUCCACGCAGAAAGGCCGCAGCCGAGUUUCAAACCUGCAACCUUCGUGCUGCGAGGCAACAGUGCUAACCACUGCGUCACCGUGCAGCCCACUUACACUUACUACAGCGUGUGGUUGUUUGCCGUCUUGCUGUUAGUUUGCUGUCAUAGUUCUGAAUGACUCAUUAAAUUAGUAAAACACCACGAUUGACCCAUUAUUAACUUCACACAUACGUUUCACUGUAACAUCAAGUUGUUAGUAAUUAAAGAAUUGCUUGAUGUUUCUAGAAUCGUCUAUUUGCUUCUAAUUCACCAUUAGCAUUGUUAGCUCAAUGUUAGCUUCUAGCUUUCUUUUCCCGACAUUAGACUAACAAAACGAUGCCGGGUUUCUCAUGGGAAAAAUAAAUAACUUCUGGGUCACUCCUGUUUACCGGCUUAGGUUCUCUAAACAACUCUGGCGAUGUUACUUGCUGGUGCUUAAAAUUCAACUGGCAGCCAGGAAUAUUGCCAUUGCAUACAUUGUUGUAAACUCUGUUAUUUUAUUUCAUUUUAUGAAUAUACACAUUUUUAUAACUGUCACAUAUUUUAUACACCAAUUUUUACUGCUUCCCUGAUGUAAAACUGAAAGAGUUUGCCGUUUUUAUGUCUUAAGAGCUUUUGUUUGAGUUGGGCAUUCAGAUCAAUGAGGGUUCCUGCAGGGGCAUCAAUAAGACACAGCCAGACGAAUCAAACCACUUUAGAGAGUGUUAGAGCGGUCGGUGCGUUUCUGAGACAUGUCUGCAGUUAAUGGUAACCAUGUGAAAUGUCUAAAUGUGGUGGAAAGACGCUGGGAAUAUUGUGAGUGAACGUCUUGCAUGAACUUCUGAUUUUGUGCUUGGGUGAGCGUGGCGAGAGGUGGAAGCAUUGUGAGUGUGUGCUCAACCACCAAAUGCAAAAAAAAAUUGGAAUGUUUUCAGAGACCGAAAUGGCACCGGAGCAACACAUCUUUAGUUAACUUUCCCUCCGUUUUUGAGGUUUGAAGACAAAAAAGAGGUACAAAAAUAUUCAGAACCAUCCAGCAUCGCUCCAGUCGCAGUUAUCUCGUCACCCACUCUCUGCUAUGAACCUGUUUGACCCAGCUGCACACACGCCUUCGGGAUCCAAACACACAAACAGCAACACACACCAGAUGUGAGCGUGCACGCUCGACGGGAGGCAAAAGGAUGAAACAGUACACCGUCUCAUUGUGACACACUGAAAACACACACCUCUUUUCUUCCCUGCUGAAGGGUAGAUAUUCACACCCCUCGGUGACUCUGACAAUGCGACAGCUUUCAUCACACGACACACUUACACACAUACAAACACAAAUAAUGACCGGUGUGUGCAUGCAUGUAUGUGUGUGUGUGUGUGAGCAAACGGCAUGCACAUUCCUGAAGCCGCUGACCUGGGCUCUUUGGGUAACCAUGGCGACCACUGCUUCACCAUGGAGACGACCGUUACUCCCUCAUUUACUCACCCUCCUCCUCCUCCUCUGCUCCCUACUCACCAACCCCACCCUGCUCUUCGUCUUCUUCUUCUUCAGCGCUUCCUUGGCGCUCAAAGUGAACCCGUUACUAAAAUGAGAGCCAGGUGGGCUCUUCAUCUUUCUGAAGAGUCUUCCGUUGUUUUCCCCACCCGUUCCUUUGUAUUUGUGCCAGUUGUGUGGAAAUGUGUGUGUUUUUGUCACAUACAUCUCACAAUUACAUUGUUUGUUUGCUACAAAUCCAAUUUAUAGAGUGAAACUAACAACAACAUUCUGUUUGCAAGUAAAGUUCAUCACAGCUUUUGCCCUUAAGUAUGUUUUCAUUCCAAAGUGAAAGUGAAUCCUCACACACACUUUGCACAUUUAAAGAUUUCUGAUCUGAGUUAUUGGUCAUUUUAAUGAUUUAGCACCUCUAGCCUAACUGCUACCCCGUAUUUCAUUUAUGAACAGCACAAUUGGUCUGUUGCACCUUGGAUGUUCAGCACAACCUCCUGUACUAAUGCUGCUGAUGGAAUUAGCCAGGUGGAAACCAGUGUGAAUGUAAACUCGUAAAAAUACUUGAAAUUUUGGUUUUUCCACAACAAAAUCACUGAUUUUUGCAAUAGUGUGCAAAGAAGGUUGUAGAUCAGGGGUGUCAAACACAUUUUAGCUCAGGGGCCACAUUGUGAGAAAUCUAGUCCCAAGUGGGCCGGACCGGUAAAUUAAAAACAACUUCAGAUUGUUUUCUUUGUUUUAAUACAAUAUAUAUAAAACAAGGCUGGAGCCUGAGGACAGUGUAUCCAAAAUAGUACAAGUACAACACCUGAAGUGUACUUGAAAAUUUGAAAAAAAUAAAAAAUCAAUCAAUAAAUAAAAACUUCCUUAGUGAUUCAAAGAGCUUACAGAUCGCAUGGCUAGAUCAGUUCUAUGCAGCACUUAAAGUAUAAUUGACUCAUUUUACUUUACAUCUUUUAGCUUUCACCAGCACAUCAAUAUCAGAAGUCUCAUCCUGAGUGGCGCCAACUUCAGGAUGUGAUUCAAGUUCUUGUGUGAGUCUUGAGCGCAGCAUUGUUUUAUUUAUACUCAUUACAGAGGAAACUUGCUCACAAAGAUAAGUUUAUUUUCACUCUACAUUGUACAGUAUGAAAAUAAAGUUUACACAACCAUCUCGUGGGCUGGAUUUUAUGAAGGUCAAUCUGUUUCAAAAAGCACAAACCUGUAGAUCUGUUGCGUGUAUUUGUACUACAUGAUGGGUGCUUGAAAACAGUGUGUGUGUGUGCGUGCAGUACAGUGUGAGGAGCUGUACACCAACACCCGUAAACCUGUAAAGCUAAAUAUGCACCUGUAAGAAACACUCACAUGCAUUUGAAAUAAAAUACAGUUGUGUGUGACAUUUUCAACUACAAGUCUGUAAACACAAGUGUACAGAUCUGUUUCUGCACACGCUCAACUUUUUUAUUACAGUUGCACAGCUUUCCUCUCACACAUCUGAUUUUUGAAACUAUUUUCACGAUUAAUAUGUGUCAAAAUGCACAAGUUUGUAAAUUUGUUGUCUGAUUCCGUACAACACAAUGUGGACUUGAAGAUUGGAUGUGAGUGUGUGUACCGUAAAAGGUGAGCUUGAAGUUUUGAGGUGAGUGUCUGUGCAUUAAAAUGUGAGAAGCUGCACAUCAACAUGUGUGAAAUUGUGAAGAUAAAUGGUACUUGUAAGAAAAAGUAAAUUGUAUGUGAAACAAAAUAAACUUACAUGUAAAAUUUUCUUCUGCGACCCAGUAAAUACAACUUCUCAAAUACGUUUCUGCGCAUGCUCAGUUGUUGUUUUACAAGCGCACAACUCUCCUCUCGCGAGUCUGACUUUUGAAACACUUCUGGCAGGUUGUGUGUUGCAAAUUGCAGCUGUGUGUAUCUGCAGAGGCGAGCGGAGCAGGGGAUGAGGGCGAGGGUGGGGGCGGAAGGAGGAGCCACAGAGGGAGGGUUGUCAUUGGUCGGCUCUGGUUUCCAGGACAACAGGCUCAACCAAUCAGAGUGAGAGCUGCGUUUUUUCCCUCGGCUUUCAGUCCGCUGCCGUCUGCAGUUCGCGAUGGCUGAACGAGCUGGGGAACUGCUGCUCAACUAUCUGCUUGAAAGACUUUACAACCGUUCCUCUAAUUGGCUUGAUCGAGUUCCUCUAGAUCUCGAUUUUUUGGAAUUUGUAUGUUGUCAGGAGCUGGUUAUUCUGGGUGCUAUCUCAAACCAUUUGACGUCCCUCAGGACAUUUUAAAUGCACUUGCCCAAGUUUAUCAGAGACCUGCAGUCAAAAUAAAAAAGCACAAAUUAUUGUUGCUCACGAAAGAGGAGCCAUUGGUCGUCCCAAACUACUUAUUCCUGAGAAAUACACAGAACACCUCAUUUCUUUAGGUUUACCUGUCACGUGUAUUGCACAGCUGCUGGGGAUAUCUAGAGUUACAUUACACAGGCAAGUGAAAGAAUGGGGUUUAAGUGUGAGCCAAACUUACAGCACCAUGACUCACGAUGAGCUAGACUCUCUAGUGUCACAGAUCCAUGCCAGAAACCAAAAUGCAGGGUAUAGAUUGAUAAUAAUAAUAAUGCAUUGAACUUAUAUAGCGCUUUUCAAGUCACCAUGAUGAAAGGUCUGCUGAAGUCACAAGGAUAUAGACUUCAGUGGGAGUGUGUUCGGUCCUCUAUGCGCAGAUUAGACACUGCAGGCGUGGUUUCCUGAAUGUCCCAUCUCCGUUGUGUGGUCAGAAGAACGUAUUCUGUGCUUAGCCCAAAAUCAUUUUAUUGCAGGAGCUUUACAUUCCACAGAUUGAAUGGGAAUCCAGUGGACUCAUCGACAUUGAACACAACUCUAGUGUUCAAGUUCCAGAAGUUGAAUGCCCGCUAAGUCCAGGAGAAUAUUCUGGACUCUGUGCAGCUGUGGAUCCACUGAGGUCAAUCUUGGGAUUGACAGUUAUUUAGCCACACGGCAUUACAUGCAAACCAUUGGCUAUAAUAAAAUCUUUCAUUUUUUGCA
Long non-coding RNA from Nothobranchius furzeri (turquoise killifish), 13872 nucleotides. RefSeq lists it as uncharacterized. NCBI's taxonomy places the organism in Eukaryota, Metazoa, Chordata, Actinopteri, Cyprinodontiformes, Nothobranchiidae. The record is from RefSeq and is a predicted model, not a curated record.